GACGAACGCUGGCGGCGUGCUUAACACAUGCAAGUCGAACGGAAAGGCCCUGCUUUUGUGGGGUGCUCGAGUGGCGAACGGGUGAGUAACACGUGAGUAACCUGCCCUUGACUUUGGGAUAACUUCAGGAAACUGGGGCUAAUACCGGAUAGGAGCUCCUGCUGCAUGGUGGGGGUUGGAAAGUUUCGGCGGUUGGGGAUGGACUCGCGGCUUAUCAGUUUGUUGGUGGGGUAGUGGCUUACCAAGGCUUUGACGGGUAGCCGGCCUGAGAGGGUGACCGGCCACAGUGGGACUGAGAUACGGCCCAGACUCCUACGGGAGGCAGCAGUGGGGAAUAUUGCACAAUGGGCGGAAGCCGUGUGCAGCAACGCCGCGUGCGAGAUGACGGCCUUCGGGUUGUAAACCGCUUUCGCCUGUGACGAAGCGUGAGUGACGGUAAUGGGUAAAGAAGCACCGGCUAACUACGUG
RNAcentral lists this ribosomal RNA (468 nucleotides) under uncultured bacterium. RNAcentral's name for it is "partial 16S ribosomal RNA". It matches the Rfam family "Bacterial small subunit ribosomal RNA", at positions 28 to 507 of the family's 1533-position model. The record is from RNAcentral.